Molecule: long non-coding RNA, 1758 nt
Organism: Juglans microcarpa x Juglans regia
Lineage: Eukaryota; Viridiplantae; Streptophyta; Magnoliopsida; Fagales; Juglandaceae
Exons: 3
Source: RefSeq, a predicted model, not a curated record
CGUUCUCUCUCCCGCUCUGUAGUCCGUCCUUCGUACGCCGUCAGGACUCAAGCCAUUCUUCAUCCCCGUGACUCCGUCGCACGCCUAGUCUUUCGCCGAAGAUGCUGCUAGGAGCCGCACAGCCAGAGCAGCAUGCAUACAACACCCAUGGACCUGAUGUUUGCCCAUUUAUACAACUGACAUACUGCAAAGUUAGCCUUCGAUGAUCCAAGUCCAUUGAGGUAUGGAUUUUAUUAUAUUUAUAUUUUAUUCCUUUUACAAUUGUUUAUAUUGAAUUUUGAAAAAAAUCCGUAAUCUUAUAUUUCACUGCACAUGACUUUAUGAAAUUUUUAUAGUAAUUUUACGUGACAACACGGUCUAUUUUUCAUAGACAAAUUCUGCUUAUAAUGUAUUCAAUAUAACAUUCGUGCAACAUCAUUGACGUGACAGUCAAUUGUAUCAAUUAUUUUUUCAAUUAAACAUAUCAAUGACUUCUAAAUAAGAAAUGAGAAACGCUAAUAUGCUGUCUAAGUUUAUCCCCUCACUUUGACCGUUCAUAUAUUUUAUUUUUUAUUUUUUUUACUUAAUGAUUAAGGAAAUGAAUUUUAGUAUAUUGGUUUAUUUUUUUAUUUUAAAAAUAUUUAAAUAUUUUAAAAAAUAUAAAAAGAAAAAUAAAAUAAAAAUGACAAAUUUGUAUUAGGUGGCACGCCCAGCAGUUAUUGCUGGGCGGCAGCCUAGCACUACUCAUAAGAAAUAUCUUUCCCAGGCUAGUUUUUUCUUUUUUCUUUUUUUUUUUUUUUAUUUUUUUAUUUUGAGUAUUUCCUUAUGGUAAAAGAAGACCCAUUUUUAGUGACUUCAACAAUUGCAUUACCUUGACCAUCAUUCUUUGUUGCCUUGCAAUUAGUUCAUUUCUUGGGGUCGCUCCUCCCUCUGUUAUAUCGAGUGCUAAACCUUCUUUUCUUCUUGUGAACUGUAUAUAUUUUUAGUAGAUCUCAUCGUUGUAAAGCUACUUCUUGUAAAAGUUUGGUAUGCACAUAGAAAGCUCAGAUGGCAAGGUUAAGUUAAUGCUUCUUUGGAGGACAGUGUUAGGUAGAUCAGCAGAGUGUGGAUAUAGAAAGAGGAAGCUUGGAGACCCAUUAAACAAGUGACAGUGAUCAGUGGCAACGUCCUUGGCCAUUUUAUAUAUUAGUUAGGGACAAUACACAAGGAAAAGCCAACCCAUGCCCUUGAGGACUGAGCUUGCUGCUGAGGAAUCAGGAGACAAACCAAAAGAAUAAAUAUAUAUAUAUAUAUAUAUAUAUAUAUAUUAACACAUACAAACUUCAUAAAUAAAAGAUUGGAUUAGAGAAAAUUGCAUCAUAUAUAGUGGUAGUAGCUUUUGCUUGUUCUCACUAUCAUCCACUAGCUAGAACUAGGCUUCAAAGAAGUACCGAUGACAUCUUCAAGAUUCGCUCUCUUUCUCUUUUUUGUUCUUUUUUACUGUUUUGUAUCUGUAGCUCAAGGCGGAGCAAACACCAAUGAAUUUGUGGUGGGCUCUGCAGGGACUUCUGCAAAUGGAAGAGCAGCUGGGUGUAGUAAGGAGAUUUCCGAGUGCAGAGAAGGAAACGAGGAGCCAGAAGAUAAUGUUUUGGUGAAUGAGGAUUAUAUCUACACCAACUCUUUUCCUUAGAUAAUUUAUCUCCUUGUAAUGUAUAUUUGCUUUCAAUGGAUCAUUUUGUAGCUGCUGGAGUCCAAACAUUUGUUUUUUAAGUUUAUGCACGGAAAAUUAUUAAUUUUUAA